Molecule: ribosomal RNA, 489 nt
Filed under: Blastocystis sp.
Lineage: Eukaryota; Bigyra; Opalinata; Blastocystidae
Description: SSU rRNA
Rfam family: Eukaryotic small subunit ribosomal RNA
Source: RNAcentral
GGAGGUAGUGACAAUAAAUCUCAAUACGAAGCCUUUGGUUUUGUAAUUGAAUUGAGAACAAUGUACAAUCGUUAUCGAUAAACAAUUGGAGGGCAAGUCUGGUGCCAGCAGCCGCGGUAAUUCCAGCUCCAAUAGCGUAUAUUAACGUUGUUGCAGUUAAAAAGCUCGUAGUUGAAGUUUAGAUAAUUUAUUGAAAGUGUUUGUAUUCGUACAUUCUACUUUUAUGUAAGUUAUCGACAUCCAGGUGGGUGCUCUGAUUCCUUCGGGGGUUAGGGUACUAGACUGGUCAUUUACUGUGAGAAAAUUAGAGUGUUUAAAGCGGACUGUUCAGUUUGAAUAGAUUAGCAUGGAAUAAUAAGAUUGGCUUUCAUAGUCGAUUUUUUGGUUUGUUUAUGAAAGCAAGAUUAAUAGGGACAGUUGGGGGUAUUCAUAUUCAAUAGCUAGAGGUGAAAUUCUAUGAUUUAUGGAAGAUGAACAAGUGCGAAAGCA